UUAGAUUUUUAUUUGAUUUAUCUAUUUAUAUUUUUCUCAAGAGGAUACAAAUGACUAAAUUUUCUUGUCAUGGUUUAGAGAUCCCUAGCCCAUCCAUGUUUUCCUAAAAUGUAUGGUCUAAAAGUGACUAUUGCAAUAAAUUCUCUUAGAAAAAAAAAAAGAAAAGAAAAGAAAAGAAAAAAAGAGCUUCAAAUUUUAUUCUAAUUACCAUUAUUUUUGAGAGUUAACUCCCUCAUUUCUCCAAGGAAUAUGUUGUUUUCUUCCAUUCUUUUACACAUAUCAUGCUCACCUUAUUUUAUCAUCCUCUCAUUUGAUUUGAUUUGAUUUGAUUUUUUUUGUUUUGUUUUAUCUUGUCCAUCUUCCUCCUUUGACACCCUCUAUUGAUUUGAACAAAGUAUGCAGUGGCUGAUUCAUAAACUGCUAACCCUAAUUUCAAUAACUUCCAGGAUUUAAACAUGUGAUCCAUUGCCCUGUUAUGCUGCUCACAGCAUGAGAGACUCAUCACCCUUGAACCAAACAGAAACCACAACAUAUAGUUCUGCUGUUAUUCACAU
Molecule: long non-coding RNA, 554 nt
Filed under: Physcomitrium patens
Lineage: Eukaryota; Viridiplantae; Streptophyta; Bryopsida; Funariales; Funariaceae
Description: long non-coding RNA (PPAT_LNC006598)
Source: RNAcentral